RNAcentral lists this ribosomal RNA (890 nucleotides) under uncultured bacterium. RNAcentral describes it as "bacterial SSU rRNA". It matches the Rfam family "Bacterial small subunit ribosomal RNA", at positions 60 to 945 of the family's 1533-position model. The record is from RNAcentral.
AGUCGAGCGGAGAUGAGGUGCUUGCACCUUAUCUUAGCGGCGGACGGGUGAGUAAUGCUUAGGAAUCUGCCUAUUAGUGGGGGACAACAUUCCGAAAGGGAUGCUAAUACCGCAUACGUCCUACGGGAGAAAGCAGGGGAUCUUCGGACCUUGCGCUAAUAGAUGAGCCUAAGUCGGAUUAGCUAGUUGGUGGGGUAAAGGCCUACCAAGGCGACGAUCUGUAGCGGGUCUGAGAGGAUGAUCCGCCACACUGGGACUGAGACACGGCCCAGACUCCUACGGGAGGCAGCAGUGGGGAAUAUUGGACAAUGGGGGAACCCUGAUCCAGCCAUGCCGCGUGUGUGAAGAAGGCCUUAUGGUUGUAAAGCACUUUAAGCGAGGAGGAGGCUACUGAGACUAAUACUCUUGGAUAGUGGACGUUACUCGCAGAAUAAGCACCGGCUAACUCUGUGCCAGCAGCCGCGGUAAUACAGAGGGUGCGAGCGUUAAUCGGAUUUACUGGGCGUAAAGCGUGCGUAGGCGGCUUUUUAAGUCGGAUGUGAAAUCCCCGAGCUUAACUUGGGAAUUGCAUUCGAUACUGGGAAGCUAGAGUAUGGGAGAGGAUGGUAGAAUUCCAGGUGUAGCGGUGAAAUGCGUAGAGAUCUGGAGGAAUACCGAUGGCGAAGGCAGCCAUCUGGCCUAAUACUGACGCUGAGGUACGAAAGCAUGGGGAGCAAACAGGAUUAGAUACCCUGGUAGUCCAUGCCGUAAACGAUGUCUACUAGCCGUUGGGGCCUUUGAGGCUUUAGUGGCGCAGCUAACGCGAUAAGUAGACCGCCUGGGGAGUACGGUCGCAAGACUAAAACUCAAAUGAAUUGACGGGGGCCCGCACAAGCGGUGGAGCAUGUGGU